This 271-nucleotide ribosomal RNA is filed under the name uncultured archaeon. RNAcentral's name for it is "partial 16S ribosomal RNA". It matches the Rfam family "Archaeal small subunit ribosomal RNA", at positions 477 to 747 of the family's 1478-position model. The record is from RNAcentral.
CAGCGCCACGAGUGGGGGUCACGAUUAUUAGGCCUAAAGCGUCCGUAGCCGGUUCAGCAAAUCCUUUGUGAAAUCGUUGGGCUCAACCCAACGGCGUGCAGGGGACACUACUGAACUAGGGACCGGGAGGGGUUGGAGGUAUUUCUGAGGGAGCGGUAAAAUGCUAUAAUCUCAGGAGGACCACCUGUGGCGAAGGCGUCCAACCAGAACGGAUCCGACGGUGAGGGACGAAAGCUGGGGGAGCGAUCCGGAUUAGAUACCCGAGUAGUCC